RNAcentral lists this ribosomal RNA (461 nucleotides) under uncultured bacterium. Its description in RNAcentral is "bacterial SSU rRNA". It matches the Rfam family "Bacterial small subunit ribosomal RNA", at positions 28 to 484 of the family's 1533-position model. The record is from RNAcentral.
GAUGAACGCUAGCGGCAGGCUUAAUACAUGCAAGUCGAACGGGAUUCGGUGUAGCAAUACAUUGAUGAGAGUGGCGCACGGGUGCGUAACGCGUAUGCAACCUACCUUUAACAGGUGAAUAGCCCCGAGAAAUCGGGAUUAAUACACCGUAACAUUGCGGGAUGGCAUCAUUCUGCAAUUAAAGAUUUAUCGGUUAAAGAUGGGCAUGCGUGACAUUAGCUAGUUGGUGAGGUAACGGCUCACCAAGGCGACGAUGUCUAGGGGUCCUGAGAGGGUUAUCCCCCACACUGGUACUGAGACACGGACCAGACUCCUACGGGAGGCAGCAGUAAGGAAUAUUGGUCAAUGGGCGCAAGCCUGAACCAGCCAUGCCGCGUGCAGGAAGACGGCCCUAUGGGUUGUAAACUGCUUUUGUCAGGGAAUAAACCUGUCUACGAGUAGGCAGCUGAAGGUACCUGAAG